UACGUAGGGGGCUAGCGUUGUCCGGAAUCAUUGGGCGUAAAGAGCGCGUAGGCGGCCAGAUAAGUCCGGUGUGAAAGUCCAGGGCUCAACCCUGGAAUGCCGAUGGAUACUGCGGAGCUAGAGUCCGGAAGAGGCGAGUGGAAUUCCUGGUGUAGCGGUGAAAUGCGCAGAUAUCAGGAGGAACACCAAUGGCGAAGGCAGCUCGCUGGGACGGUACUGACGCUGAGACGCGAAAGCGUGGGGAGCAAACAGG
Molecule: ribosomal RNA, 253 nt
Filed under: uncultured bacterium
Lineage: Bacteria
Description: partial 16S ribosomal RNA
Rfam family: Bacterial small subunit ribosomal RNA
Source: RNAcentral